AUGGACUGGACCUGGAGCAUCCUCUUCUUGGUGGCAGCAGCAACAGGUGCCCACUCCCGAGUGCAGCUGGUGCAGUCUGGGCCUGAGGUGAAGCAGCCUGGGGCCUCGGCGAAGGUCUCCUGCAAGGUGUCUGGUUAAACUGUCAUCACCUAUGGUAUGAAUUGGAUACGACAGACCCCAGGACAGGGGCUUGAGUGGAUGGGAUGGAUCAUCCUACCCUGGUGAACCCAAUGUAUGCCCACAGAUUCACACACGGUUUGUCUUCUCCAUGGACACCUCUGUCAGCACGGCGGAUCUGCAGACUAGCUGCCUAAAGACUGAGGAUGCAGCCAUUUAUUACUGUGUGAGGUA
This is a non-coding RNA of Homo sapiens (human), 351 nucleotides long. NCBI's taxonomy places the organism in Eukaryota, Metazoa, Chordata, Mammalia, Primates, Hominidae. The record is from the annotation of a RefSeq genome assembly.